RNAcentral lists this ribosomal RNA (470 nucleotides) under uncultured bacterium. RNAcentral's name for it is "bacterial SSU rRNA". It matches the Rfam family "Bacterial small subunit ribosomal RNA", at positions 335 to 798 of the family's 1533-position model. The record is from RNAcentral.
ACUCCUACGGGAGGCAGCAGUGGGAAUAUUGCACAAUGGGCAGCAAGCCUGAUGCAGCCAUGCCGCGUGUGUGAAGAAGGGCCUUCGGGUUGAUAAGCACUUUCAGUUGUGGAGGAAGGUGUGUCGUUAAUAGCGGCAUCAUUUGACGUUAGCAACAGAAGAAGCACCGGCUAACUCCGUGCCAGCAGCCGCGGUAAUACGGAGGGUGCGAGCGUUAAUCGGAAUUACUGGGCGUAAAGCGCAUGCAGGUGGUUUGUUAAGUCAGAUGUGAAAGCCCGGGGCUCAACCUCGGAACUGCAUUUGAAACUGGCAGACUAGAGUACUGUAGAGGGGUGAGAAUUUCAGGUGUAGCGGUGAAAUGCGUAGAGAUCUGAAGGAAUACCGGUGGCGAAGGCGGCCCCUGCGCAGAUACUGACACUCAGAUGCGAAAGCGUGGGGAGCAAACAGGAUUAGAUACCCUGGUAGGCUCU